Long non-coding RNA from Dromiciops gliroides (monito del monte), 452 nucleotides. RefSeq lists it as uncharacterized. The transcript has 3 exons. The record is from RefSeq and is a predicted model, not a curated record. Lineage: Eukaryota; Metazoa; Chordata; Mammalia; Microbiotheria; Microbiotheriidae.
AGUAGUUUGUCAGAUCCUAAGUGACAAAGGAAGCAAAAUUUAAUUAGGGGGAAGGAGAGUGAUAUCUAGAGAGGAAAAGGAGAAGCAGAGUUGGGGGCUAGGGAGAGAAAGCACCCUGGCUUACAGAGAUGACUGCAUGGAGGCACCAGUGAAUGUGAGUGGAGGGGAGAAGAAAGGUUCCCAAGAUAGAGAAAGGAUGCUGCAGUGAAAGGCUUGGAGCUGACCUUGUGAGGUCCUGGAUCCAAUUACAGGAGUGGAUGAUUGUCACAACAAGAGUGGGCUGCUGGUAGAGAAGAUGACUGCCAAAAAGGGGAUCAGUCCAAGCCUCACCAAUUUACCAGAAAUGGACCGGGAAUGAUGGAUAUAACCGGAGAGCUGGAACAUGCACCCUGCUGGCCGGAAGCAGAUGAAGGACCUUGAGGCCACUUGAAACAAAGAAACUUUGAUGUCCC